This 266-nucleotide ribosomal RNA is filed under the name uncultured bacterium. RNAcentral describes it as "partial 16S ribosomal RNA". It matches the Rfam family "Bacterial small subunit ribosomal RNA", at positions 793 to 1055 of the family's 1533-position model. The record is from RNAcentral.
GUCCACGCCGUAAACGAUGAGUGCUAGGUGUCACGGGCUUUGACCCUCGUGGUGCCGAAGCUAACGCGUUAAGCACUCCGCCUGGGGAGUACGGUCGCAAGACUAAAACUCAAAGGAAUUGACGGGGCCCGCACAAGCGGUGGAGCAUGUUGUUUAAUUCGACGCAACGCGAAGAACCUUACCUGGGCUAGAAAGUACAGGAAGUCGGUCGAAAGGUCGAUGUGCCCUUCGGGGAACGAUGUGGUUAGGUGCUGCAUGGCUGUCGU